GUGGUGGUAUCAUAAACAUUUUAUCGUCAUAUCCUUGAAAAUCUCAAGAGACAUUUUUGUCAAACACAUUUUAACAAUCAUGCUGUUUCUGCUUCACUGGACAGGUGAAAUUAAGUUAAACUGAGUCUCAAGGACUGUCUUGAAGAAUAAAAUAAGUCAUAGCACUACUAUAGCUCAAAUAAUGUCAUAAAUAGAAAGAACCAGUUUCAUCUGCCUUGUCUCCAUGACAGGAAGUUUUAAGGCUGGUUGCAUCCUAUAUGAGCCUCAAUUUUUUUGACCAACUGGUAAAGCUGCCUUUUCCUCCACUUCCAUAUAUACUUUUAUAGAAGAUGUAUAUUUUCUUAUAGAAUAGCAAAGAGAUCAAAUCAGGGAUGAACUGGACUUUACAAAUAUUGUAACAGUAAAUCAUAAUCAUAAUUUGAUUCAAGGAUCUUUCAAAAUUAGAGAAUGCCAGUUAUUGAAAGCUGCUAUCUAGAUACCGACAAUAUACCAAUAUACCAUUACAAUGUUUCUACUGCUUCAAAACGGUCUAACCCAAACUGCCAACAAAAGUACUGUCAUUUUAAAUACUGUAUCACUCAAACUGCAAUCCUACUAACAACCCACAUGUUUUGCAACUCCCCCUUAGGCAAUAUAAUUAUUAUUACCCAUUGGGUGUAUAACAUGAGUAACAUGCUGAGCUAAACAACUUUAUUAGGAUCUUCUCAUUAAUUCUCCUUAACAACUCUGGCAGGUAGUUACUAUUAUUAUGUGCAUUUUACAGAGAUUAAGCAACUUGCCUGUGGUCAUCCAGCUAGUAAAUGAUGAAGGAAACGUUUGAAACCUAGUAGCCUAAAUUGAGCCCUUUCUUUUAAAGCAGAGACACAAAUGUAGUAUUUGUUUAUUUAAGAACUGGUAAGGAAACUUUUCCUAGGAAACAUGGUUGAAUGAUUCACUUAAGUAUAGUUAAUUUUUUUCCAGUUUGAAGCCACUAGAUGGCAAUAUUUUCAAAAGUUUUUUUUUCUUCUUGAGUUGAAAAAGUAACUACAGUAUUAGUGACUGGUUUUCUGUGAAAAAAUUAUUUAUCUUUGAUUUGCCAAAUUAUAACUAUUUUUUGUAGUAAAGUUUUUCAGUGAUAUAAUGAUGUAAUGUGACCAUAGCAGUUUGAAGUGGGACAAAAAUUGGAGUGUUUUGUGCUAUUUUGUUUACUUUUUGUUUUACUUUAGUUUGAGGUUGAAGAGAAGUUCCUAGAAACUUAAAAUUUCUUCCUGGAGUCUUCCCUCAUGCUACAACACUGCCAUCAAGUCCUUGUUGUUUAAUAUCAAACAUGACAAACACUUACUUUUCAGAAAAACAUUGUGCUAUAACAAACUUUAGUGACUUUAAAAAUAUAAUUUGCAUUGCCUGGAAUGUACCACUCCUCUUUUACAUCAUACAUUCUUGUAUAUCUUUUAAAUCCUAACUUACAUAUGUAUCUUUUUCCUCUGUGAUGUCCCUUCCACAAGCACAGGCAGACUCUUCUAACAGCACCACCUCAGUCCCAUACCAUUUGAGGCUUUGAUACAUUAUACAUGUCCUAAUGAUAUACUUACGUGUUUAUCCUCCCACUCCUUUGGGAGCACCUCAAAGGCAGUCUUUUAAAAAUUGAUAUAUGGGGCCAGGCGCGGUGGCUCACGCCUCUAAUCUCAGCACAUUGGGAGGCCAAGGCGGGCAGAUGACAACGUCAAGAGAUGGAGACCCCCCUGGCUAACAUGGUGAAACCCCAUCUCUACUGAAAAAAAUACAAAAAUAUUAGCUGAGCGUUGUGGCGGUCACCUGUAGUCCCAGCUACACAUGAGGCUGACUCAGGAGAAUGGCGUGGACCCGGGAGCUUGCAGUGAGCUGAGAUCGCGCCACUGCACUCCAGUCUGGGCAACAGAGCGAGACUCCCUCUCAAAAAAAAAAAAAAA
Long non-coding RNA from Macaca fascicularis (crab-eating macaque), 1928 nucleotides. The record is from Ensembl. NCBI's taxonomy places the organism in Eukaryota, Metazoa, Chordata, Mammalia, Primates, Cercopithecidae.